GCCAAUAGCAGUUAAAAAGCUAUGAAGACACUUACAAAUUGCUUUAUUUAGACCAGAUUGUUUUUGAAUUAACAACCAUAUCUCUGUGUGACUAAUUCCUAUUAAGCCUAUAUUUACAAAGGAUUCUGGAUCUUCCUUUUUCCAUUCCAUCCUGUAGGUAUUUGUUCUCUUUAUGAUUCGAGUUCAAUUACACACAACCAAAUUCUGAUCAAUUGUCUAAUUUACCUUGAGCAUAGUGAAUUUAAACACUGUCCCCAACAAUUACCUAGCUGGCAAGAUCUGGAAAAAGAAUUUGGAGCCAGAAACUACUAGGAGAAAGAUUUCCUUUAAUGAUGUCUCUGUACCUUCUAGUGGUUUUCAAAUAUUCUACUAAUGGAAGAGAGAUUAUCAUAAUGACAUCCCAUGGAAUUUUAAAUAUUCAAAAUGGCCUUGUCUAAACAGAAUUUUAGACAAUAUCCGUUUUUCUAACACCUUCUCUGUCUUUCCAUUGCUUAGAAUUUGUAGCUCCCUGCCCUGUAUUCCAAACUUUCAUCAUAAAUCUGCCUCCUUCUCUCAACCAUACAAAGCCUGUUUUAAAAACAAAACAAAACAAAAAAAACAACUCUGUUCCAGAAGGCUCCUGCCAAAAGCUCGUCUAGCAAGUUAGGCUCAUUCUUAACCCAGGGCUUUCUUCAAUCAGUUUCUAUACCUGAUGUUUUCUUCCCUGCUCAUCUACCCAAGCUCUGUUUGCUCUCCUUCCAUAGUCCACCUAGAUUCUUCCUCUUCCAUGAAGAUUUCCCACCAAUAGUGAGCUCUCCUUCCCCAAGGGCACCAUAGUGCUUACCACACGGUGCCAUCCACAGACCAGCAACAAUGGCAUCAUCUGGAAGCUGGUUAGAAAUGCAGAAUCUCAGGUUCCACUUCAAACUACCAGUAGCAACUGCAUUGGUGGCAAGAUCCAUAGGGGAAUUGUAUUCACAUUAAAGUUUGGAAGACCCCAUUAUUAUUCUAAUCUGAGCGUCUUUCCCUUCUUCUAUGCAGCCUUAGUGACAUCUCUUACUUCAUUGCAUUGAACUGUUCAUUUGUGAAAGCAAGUUUUUGAGUCCAUUAACAAAUGUAACUUGAACAUCUGUGUUCAAGAAGUUAAAAUCUGACACAAAAUUUCUCUUGCUGGAAAACAUCUAAGAGGACACUUCAUAUGCAUUUAAACUGCCCCUCCAGAAAGAAGAGGCAGAAAAGCCAUUUCCCCUCUCUGGGCCAUUGGCAGAGUCAAAUGGGCUAGACAAGGAAGGCCCACAGCAGGACCCUGAAAGUUUGGGGGUAUGAGCACCUAGGGGCUCAAUUCCCCAGCAAAACAUUGACCAACAGCACAUUCAACAGCAGAGUUCUGCACCUCGAAGGGUUGUCCUCCAUCCUCCAGAUUUGGAUUAUCUGAAGUUAUAGGAGUCAUGACCUUGAGAUAAAGGAACAGAGAUUCACAAAGGAAGACUGAUAUUCCUUAAGGUCUCAGAGGAAGUGUGAAAAGCUUGAUCAUUUGACAAAAGCCAAAGACACUCUUGAGGGAGCUGAGCAGAGGGGAGGGAUGAUAGUGGAGCAGAAUGACCUAGGCAGCAAUACUCAAGGUUACCUGCCCCGGGUCCCUGUGUGUGUGUGUGUGUGUGUACACUUAUUUCAAUUUUCAAUAUCGAAUGUGGAAAUAAUUUCCAACAGGAAAGCUGUAAGAAUGUCACCUAUUGUUAAUGUGUUCUCCCCAUCUACCUUACCUGUUGCUUUCUCUUCUUUCCUUUUUCCCUUCAUCCCUCUGUCUUUUGUCCUAUAUUCUGUCUCUGUGUUGUAUUUAAUUAUUUUUAACCAUUUGAAAGUAAGUUGCACACAUCAUAUUCUUUCACCCCUCUAUAUGUCAGUGUGUAUUUCUGGGAAUAGGGACAUUCCCUUAAAUAACCAUAGCUAUAGCUUGAAACCUCCUAAUUUCCACAGCUUUCUCAUGGUGACAACAUCCAUCUUGGCACCAUUUCACCAUUAAGAUGGCCACUUCCCAGUUGAUUAAUAUCUUCAGAGCUAUUCUCCUGCUCUCACCCAUAAGUAUUUUUUCAGUGUGAUUUACUGUUGUGAGUAAAACCUUCAAUAUCACACCAAGUUUUUCCUAUAAGCUCUUGGCUCUGCUCCGCUGUUUCAUUAUCCCCUCUACCAGACUAUUCCUAAUAACUGGGCUGUGGUAAUGCAGAGAAUGGGGAGUGGUCACUAAAAGUUCCUACUUCCUGGGGUCAGCCGAAGCAUUUGGUCUGAAGUUCAUCUCAUUAUCCUCAGAGAAAAAUCAAAUAAUAUAUUUGAGGGGAAAAAAAUGAAAUCACUUUUAUUAUGGGCUGUGUCAGGCUUUUGGCUGCAGUUUCAGAUUACUGUCCCUUAACAACUGCAAGAGAUGAAGAACAGAACCAGAAAUGGAAAAAGUCACACGCUGAAAUAUGCAAGCAACUGGAUUGAUUUCAUAAAUUAAAGUAUUAAGUCUCAGCCUUUCAAUUUAUGAAAAUAGCAUUUCUCACUUUAUAUGUCCUUUUGAAAAAUAUAGUUGACUUGGGCCAUAACAUACACUUCCAAAAGAGAUAACGU
Molecule: long non-coding RNA, 2586 nt
Filed under: Marmota monax (woodchuck)
Lineage: Eukaryota; Metazoa; Chordata; Mammalia; Rodentia; Sciuridae
Source: RNAcentral